RNAcentral lists this ribosomal RNA (507 nucleotides) under uncultured bacterium. Its description in RNAcentral is "partial 16S ribosomal RNA". It matches the Rfam family "Bacterial small subunit ribosomal RNA", at positions 28 to 507 of the family's 1533-position model. The record is from RNAcentral.
GACGAACGCUGGCGGCGUGCCUAAUACAUGCAAGUCGAACGCAUUUUCUUUCACCGUAGCUUGCUACACCGAAAGAAAAUGAGUGGCGAACGGGUGAGUAACACGUGGGUAACCUGCCCAUCAGCGUGGGAUAACACUUGGAAACAGGUGCUAAUACCGCAUAAUUCCAUUUACUGCAUGGUAGAUGGAUGAAAGGCGCUUUUGCGUCACUGUUGGAUGGACCCGCGGUGCAUUAGCUAGUUGGUGGGUUAACGGCCUACCAAGGCUGAGAUGCAGAGCCGACCUGGGAGGGUGAUCGGCCAAACUGGGACUGAGACACGGCCCAGAAUCCUACGGGAGGCAGCAGUAGGGAAUCUUCGGAAAUGGACGCAAGGCUGAACGAGCAACGCCGCGUGAGUGAAGAAGGUUUUCGGAUCGUAAAACUCUGUUGUUAGAAAAGAACAAGGAUGAGAGUGGAAAGUUCAUCCCUUGACGGUAUCUAACCAGAAAGCCACGGCUAACUACGUG